This 460-nucleotide ribosomal RNA is filed under the name uncultured bacterium. RNAcentral's name for it is "bacterial SSU rRNA". It matches the Rfam family "Bacterial small subunit ribosomal RNA", at positions 29 to 507 of the family's 1533-position model. The record is from RNAcentral.
AGUGAACGCUGGCGGCGUGCUUAACACAUGCAAGUCGAACGAGAACGGUCCUUCGGGAUGUCAGCUAAGUGGCGGACGGGUGAGUAAUGUAUAGCUAAUGUGCCCCUUGGAGGGGGAUAACAGUUGGAAACGACUGCUAAUACCCCAUACUCCUUCUAUAUUAAUUAUAGUUGGGAAAUGUUUUUUCGCCAAGGGAUCGGGCUAUAUGGUAUCAGCUUGUUGGUGAGGUAAUGGCUCACCAAGGCUAUGACGCCUAGCUGGUCUGAGAGGAUGAUCAGCCACACUGGAACUGAGACACGGUCCAGACUCCUACGGGAGGCAGCAGUGGGGAAUAUUGCACAAUGGAGGAAACUCUGAUGCAGCAACGCCGCGUGGAGGAUGACGCAUUUCGGUGUGUAAACUCCUUUUAUAUAGGAAGAUAAUGACGGUACUAUAUGAAUAAGCACCGGCUAACUCCGUG